UUCGCCGUCAAAAUUCCCUAUUUAUAAUCAUUUUCAAUCUACGAUCGCACUUAUAUAAUUUUGAUCGUAUUGCUUCUUCCCAGAAGAAACGUGCUAGUAUUCUCGGUUUGGAUUCCAAGCUUGAGAAGAGUCUUUUCAUCCCCUUCAAAAAAAUCAAGGUUGAAUGCACAGUCCCAAAAGAUGAUGGAACUCUGGUUUCUUAUGUUGGUUUUAGGAUCUAACACGAUAAUGCUCUUGUGUGCUCUAGUUUUUCGCUCUAGUUUUUCUCUUAUGUAAAUGUUUUGUGUUAGUAUGCUUUUGUUGUGGUCAAUGCUUAAAUUGCAGCUAUUGGAUCUUUGAAGUUGCAAUCCGACAAAAGUUGUCGAUGUUAUGGUUGUAAUGGGGCAAUAACUAUUUGAUCCUGAUAUGGGAACCAAUGCUUAGACCAUGGCAUGGAUUUUGGAUGAGUAUUCAAAGUUUUACUACACUCACAUCCUAUUGUGACAGGACAACUUACUAAAAGUAUCUUAUACAAAUGUAUCAUUUAACAGUACACAAUAAAAUCUUAGAGUUUUAACAUUUUUAUGCUACACUUGGGUGAUUGCAGGCUUUAAGUAAUGGACUUUAUAAGAGUGUUUGACAUAGGGCUAUUGUGAAUGCUGAAAAACCAAGGCUUUCAGUGGCUUCAUUUCUGUGCCCAGGUAAUGAGGCAUUAAUAUGUCCUACAAAUCCGCUAACCAAAAAUGGAUCUGGAGCCAUAUACAGAGGGUUUACAUAUCCAGAAUACUAUAGCAAAUUCUGGAGUAGGAACUUGGAUCAAGAACAUUGUUUGGAACUUUUCAAGGACAAGUAACAUUAAGUAUGUAAUUUGCACAAAACAAUGGGAAUAAAUAUAAGGGAGAUAUUAAUUUAUCCAAUCCUUAUUAUGAAACAAUACAUGAUGAGGUCUAAAGUUUUACUCGUAUUAUAUUAUCUUUUAUGUUGCAGACAAACUUUAGAAAGAAGAAGAAUCUUUAUAGCUUUCAUGUAAUCCUUUUCUAUCACUUUUUGAUUCAUAUUUUCUCAUAUAAAUUUCUCUCCUAAACAAUCGAAAAUGGAAGUGCGCGACUGCGAAGAUAUUCUAUCCACCACCACGACACAAUGCUGGAUCUGAAAUUGGUUGGAACGAAAUUGAAGGAUAUAUUAAAGGUCUCUAACACAUCACUAAAUGAAAGGAAGAUUAUUGUGGAACUUUGCUGGAUCUGUUGCUUCUUGCGGUGCACGUCUUGCUGCUGCUGGAAUUUUAGGAAUCCUUAAGAAAAUAGGAAGAGAUACAGUUAAGGCUAGUAAACAAAGUGAAGCAGAUAAACCACAAGUUUAGAUGGCAUAAAAUCAGGGCCAGCAGAAAAGACUGAAUCAAUUGUCAAGUUUAAAGAGCGUCUGUCUCAAAUAAGCCAGCCAAGAAACACAUUACUCCUAUUUCAAUUGAACCAUGAUUUUUCAGUGCCGUAGAAAUUCCAUUAACGUACCCCUGUGUACAUCUAUUUUGUGUGGCUAACAUAUAUUUUGUAAUAUAAAUUGAAUUAAAAUAUUUAUCUUCUGUAGAAAAAAAUCUCCAUUUUGGAGAUUUCCUAGUGAACCUUUUGUUCAAGUCCUAGUAUUGUAGUGUUAGUCGGUUAAUUGAGAUAGU
Long non-coding RNA from Vicia villosa (hairy vetch), 1648 nucleotides. RefSeq lists it as uncharacterized. The transcript is spliced from 4 exons. Lineage: Eukaryota; Viridiplantae; Streptophyta; Magnoliopsida; Fabales; Fabaceae. The record is from RefSeq and is a predicted model, not a curated record.